Molecule: long non-coding RNA, 1080 nt
Filed under: Triticum aestivum (bread wheat)
Lineage: Eukaryota; Viridiplantae; Streptophyta; Magnoliopsida; Poales; Poaceae
Description: long non-coding RNA (TAES_LNC004444)
Source: RNAcentral
ACAUAUAUAUUUUCACAUGGAAGUAAUUAACACAGGGACUACAGAACACACAUAAGCACACAUAUGCGAACAGGGUACUACACCAUGAUUCAGGUUACACAAGUAAUCUAAUUAUACAAGCCACUUGACUAGUAUCACAGAUCAACAGAGUAGUAUUGAACAACUAAAAAUAGAUAGUAGAAGUAACUAGUACAGGAAGCAAGUACUCUUAGAAUCUGAAUGUUAUAGACUACACAUCUCAAACUACAGAAAAUUCAGAGAAGAGAAGGAGAAAGAGAGAUGGCAGCAGGAGAUUAGAGAAAGAAGCAGCAACAGGGACGUGGAGAGAGGGAGCAGCAGCAGUACUGGGGAUAGAAGAAGAAAGAGAAGCAGCAGGAGAUUGAGGGCAUCAGCAGCAGCAAGAGAAAGGAUUGAGGGGAGAUCAGGGGCAGCAGCUAGAUGGCGCAAGUGGGAGCAGCAACAAGGAGAAGUUCAGAGAAGAAGGAGCAGCAAGGGGUCGCUGGAGAGGAGCAGCAGCAGGUUGAAGAUUAGAGUAGCAGCAGCAGGGGCAUCAGGGAGAGAGAAGCAGCAGCGUGGGUUGAGGGCGAGCAGCAGCAGGUUGAAGAAGGAGGAGCAGCAGCGACUUGGAGUUGGGAGAUGGAGAAGAGGGAAGCAGCAGGGGGCGGUGAGAGAAGAGAGGAGCAGUAGCAAGGGGAGAAGAAGGGCAGCAGCACAGGGGCGCAAGGAAGAGCAGCAGCAAAGGUAAGGGAAGAAGGACUCACGCGGAGGUUCAGACGCCCGCAUCCUCGUGUCUGAUGGGACGUGCGAGUGGUGAUGGUGGAGUGGUGGCGCUGGUGAUGGUGGAUGAUGGCGCUAGGUGGUGAUUCGGCGUUGGUGGAUGGAGAUGGGUGAUGUGGUGCUGGAGGUGGGUGUGCUUGUGGAUGGAUGGGUGGCGGAGGCGCACCACCACACCGGCCUGGCCGUGGCGGCGGCCGGUGGUGGAGAAGAAGGGGAGAGGGAGAGAGAUGAGAUGUGCCAGGCCCGAAGGGACCCAAUGAUGCGGCUAGGGAGUUUGUUCCCCUCUCUGAUCUGCCACUUUUC